Molecule: long non-coding RNA, 1245 nt
Filed under: Rosa chinensis
Lineage: Eukaryota; Viridiplantae; Streptophyta; Magnoliopsida; Rosales; Rosaceae
Description: sRNA RchiOBHm_Chr3g0480251
Source: RNAcentral
AAACACAAACCCAGCUGGUCUUUAGAUCCCGAACCCAGAAGCUCUGCUUUCAAACAAGCAUACUCCCAAGAAGAUGAAGAUGAGGCAUACACCCACGAGAUUUGGUGGAGCGGUUGACGAAGUUUUUAGCUGUUCGAUUUGUGGCUACAAAAUUCCUCUCUUCGACAUGGAAGAGAGGAAAUAUAUAUAGUAGAGAUCUAUUGCUAUAUAUAGUAGUAAGAGUUUUAGAAUGAGUUGAAAUGAGUGAGUACUGAUGAUUUCCAGUCUGGAAAUAUUUCUGAUGAUUUCUAGUUUUUGGAUAUAUUUCUGAUGAUUUCAAGUUUUUGGUAGGCCACUUUCUGGUCUCGAAGAGUCCGGUUAUGGCUUUCAUGUCGUGGUUUCUGCUUUCUGAAAUGAUCGAUCUGGUUUUGUUUUGUUUUGGGGGGGUAGACGUAGACUGUAGGGAUUUGCGAUGUGACUGCCACUGGCUAAUUUCAGUUUUUGAUUGUCAAUGUCGUACUUAAUACUUAGGGGGGUGUAUUCAAUUGAGAGUUUAUAGGAUUUUUUUGGACUUUAAAAGUCUUUGGGUAUUCAAUCAGGAUUUUAAAAAGUCAUUUAAAAUCCUGAUGUAUUCAAUCAAGAUUUUAAAAUAUCCAUCAAAAUCUGGAGAUAUUCAAAACUCUAAAGAUUCUCAAGGAUUUUAUUGAAUGUAGGAUUGUGGAGGAUUUUUAGGGCCUAGAUAUAAAUACAAAUCCAUUGAGAAAUCUGCUCGCCUCCAUCAAGAUUUUGACGUUCUCUCUUGCAGAAGAUGAAGAGGCAUCACUAGACAACCUGUGUAGACCUCUUUCAAUUCUAUUCUCCGACCAAUCAAGCUGCGCAUAGUAACUUGCACUACUACAAAAAUUGAAUUAGACGACGGCUAAAAACCGUCGUCUGAUAUGGAGGCAAACAGUCGUAUAUCGAGGCGCCGUCUGAUGAAAGUCGAUUGUAGGGAAUCGUUGUGUGAAGGACUCGGCAGCAUGGCGGCAGCAUGUCGGCAGCCUGUCGACAGCAUUAGAUGUUACGUGACUAUUCUUUAGACGACGGGUUACUUUAGAAACUGUUGUAUGAUGGCGAUUCAGAUGUCGCUUUAUUUUAUGCCCGUUGUGUGACUUUCAUUCAGACGACAGUUUUUAUUUUUGGGUCAUUGUGAAUAUUGUGCACAUACGACAGUUUUUUGUGGUUAUUGUUGUCCUAAUAGAAUGAUUCAAUGCAUUGUUUAUGCUG